AGUAUCCUUGUUUCUCCACUUGAUCUUGGACCUAUUUGCCUAACAGGAGUCGCCAGCGUCCAGUGCUUCCCGCCGUCAGUAGUUGCAGGCUUGAAUAGUCCUCCUGAAGUGAAUGGGACACAUACAGCUUUGGUUCCACUGUGCCACUGAAUAAAUACGACUCAAAAAGCAUGGGAGGAUUAACACAGAGUGCUUGCCUGGUGUGGUACGGAAGAGAAGAUCAUCAUAGGACAUCACAGACAGAUCCAUUUCAGCAUUUGCCUUAUUCAAAUAGGCUCUGAAAUUUACAGGCAAACGAAAGAGAUUCAUAAGCUAUGUAUUGCCUGAUAUCCCAUAGUACACCUGGGAUGCCUCACUGCAAUGGGUAUGUCUCUCUCUUCAUCGACUGUAAGAGGAAUCAAACGAGACUAGUUGACUCUUUGGAUGUUUUCCACAAUGACCUGGGUGCCUGUCUUGGCCAGAGUGAGCAGAGAUUGGUCUUUCCAUCCAUGACACCUGCAAAGCAACAUCUGUAAGAGCUUUUUGCACUUGCCUGGCUUGUUUAGGCAACAGGGGAGAGAGGGAAGGAUGAGUGUUUUAGGCCUGGUCUUUCUAUCGCCUUUGUGAAAACACAGUACAUUAAGAAAGGGACACACUCACAAGACACCUACACCAAAGACAAUGGGUAAAGCAGCAAGAACCAGGGACUCUGUGUCAGAAGGACUUGCAACAAAGCUAAGGCCAGUGCAAAGAGGAAGAGGAGAAGGCUUUGGGGGGACCUAAUAGCAGCCUUCCAAUGCCCACAUGGUCAUCACAAAGUCACUGUUCACAGUGGUGCAUUGUGGGGGGCAGAAAGACGGGGGGCAGAAAGACAGUGGGCAUAAAGCAAAACAAGAGAGGUUCAGAAUGAACAUGAGGAGAAAGCUUUUCUCUAUGAGGGCAGUCAAAGAGUGGAAGAGAGUGCCCAGAGAGGUGCAGAAUCCAUCCUUGAAGAUUUUCAAGACCCGCUUGGAUAAAGUCUGGAGCAACCUCAUGGGUGACCCUGCUUUGAGCAGGGGGCUGGACACUGGAGGUCCCUUCUGCCCGGAAUUAUCCCAUGAUUCUAUAAAGUGCUAUACAUAUAUGAAAGGCAUAGGGUGGCCAGAAAGUCCAGGAGACCAUGGUCCUGCAUCCCAGAGGUCACUCUGCUUUGUCAUCCAGUUGUUCCUGUCUAGUUGUGGAAAGAUAGCUAAGAAAGGCACAUAUAGCUCAGGUCUUCACUUGCAUGAACGUGAGUCCUUGUUGUCAUAGAUAUGCUUAAUGUCUGAUAAUGCUUCUCUGUCUUUUUUGCCCUGGAGUAAAGGAGCAUGCCCUGAGAAGCCACAGAUUUACCUCCGAGUGAAAGACAACGCCUAGUAAUUAACUUUAUUGCAUCCUUGUGUAGAUUUCACUCAGAGCUGUAAAGGAGAAUAAUAACUUGGCACUUCCUGCCGCACAUCCUCGCAGAGACUUGCAGGAUAAAACCUGCGUCUGAUAUGGAUGCUGACCUGGAUUAGUGGAAGAACCUGAGCUACCAGCCUUUCCCGGAUCCUUUCAUAUAGCGUCCUGGAACUGCAUAUUUGGGCAGUGAAACCUGACUUCUGUCCAAAGAACAUGCAAGGUAGAAAGGAGAGAACUAAAACAACAUAGACAUGCUAGCUUAGUGCCACAUAGAAACACCUUCAUCUUCGGCAUAGCUGAGGUCAUUAAUGAAAAUAAAAUGCCUGGACAGAGCUAGGUAACUGUAACAUUACAAGUCUUUUUACUUUUCUAUUCUUAGUUAUAAAAUUCUGGUAAUUUCCCAAUAGCUGAAUGUAUUGAAUUCAAUGUAAUACUUCUGAAAGGUACUGCCUGAGAGGCUGACUUUGUAAACUAAGAAAACCCAAAGAAAGUAGCAGUGAAGGCAUCUCUCCUAAUUGAUUCAAGAGUUUCCGGACCAACAAUUCCUUUGACCAAAUUUCCCAUACGAUUUCUGUGCACUAACAGUGAGGGGUUAUCUCCACACAUUUCACAGAGGGAGCUGAUCACAAGGGUAAAUGCUUAGUAUUUGCUGCAGAUUAGUGUAAGAAAGGCAAAGAAAAAAAUGCUGCUUCUUCUUGUUAGUGGUAGUUGUGUGUCUGAUCCAUCUUUAAUGAAUUUUUAGCUAACUGCUUACUAAGAGAUAAUACAUGUCAGACCUGCAGCUACAAUUUAUGCCUGCAGUUCCACUGCCUUUACUGGAGCUUCCCCUGCUCUCCCCAGCUGAGUAUUUGACCCCUUGAAGUUCUGAGAGGAAGUAUAUUAUAUUUUUCAGCUGGAAAAGUGGACCCAAAUCUUUCAGUCCUGGGCUCUGAGCCAAACAGCAUAGCUUUAGCCUUUCCCACAUUCAGCGACUACUUGCAUUUCAAUAGCAAAGCCUGGAAACUGUCAAAAACUGCUCUGGAGGUGGAUCUGGUCCUUGUCUACAGCUACAUUACUGACACGUAUAUCAGUACUUUCAAUAUACUUACAGUCAAAUGGCUUUAAAGACUGUGGAAACUUGUAUAUACAUCUUUUAACAAGAGGAAAACAGAUGUCCUUACAGUUGGUAAUAUGGGAAUCAAUGUACUCUAUCUGUGUCACCCUUAGCUGCAGGUCAUUUGAAAAUUGGUCUGGAAAAAAGGGCUGUUUUUUCAUGACACAUGUAAAUGGUUUGUAAACAAAGACCAUCAGCAAAGUUAAAACGCACUGUGUCUUCAUGAGCUGGAAAUACACUGCCUUUGCAUGGGCCUCAUGCUGCUCAGGCCCAUUGGUGAGCCUACAGGGAGUUCAAUUUUCCUGGUGUUGAUCAUGUGGAUGGUACAGAGUAACUGUGAUUUCUGCAGUAAGAAAGAACAGAUUUUUUUUAUUACUUCUGCUUCGACUUCAGGACCUUGAUUUCUAGCUGAGCAUUCUAAAAUUAGGAACAUAAUUCCAUAGGAGUAUAAAUCCGCAGCUAAACUCCAACAGAAGAAAAGGUCUGGCGCAGCUUAUCACUUGCCUUGCUGUCAGCUGCAGGGCGUACAUCACAGGAGAGGUGUAUGUCAGGUAGGAGUGCAGAAAAAGGCCCCCAAAGCAGCUUUUUGAAUGUUCACGGAGAACUGGAUGUCACUGGAGAAAGUGCGAUUGCAUCUGAGAGAGAAACGGACACUUUCAAUUAUAAGUUUGAUCGAGGCUUUUAGAGUGAAAUCCCCAACUUUUCUAAGUCAGCAGGAAUUUUGCCAUUGACAUCCCCAGAGCCUCCGUCGUCACUGGCGUUCCUAAUCCAUUUUCAUGCCCGCUAAAAUUACGGUAAGUGAGGCAGGAUUGCCAUCCACGUUACAGGCCUUGGGGAGAUCCCAACUGUAUGAGGAGGAAUCAGCUCAUUUGUGAAGGUCAAAAUUGCUGUCUAAAUAAUUAGUGUUCACUGUUACGGCUGUUCUAUGUAAAAGCACAUCCUGGGCUUGAAGCAUUGUGGCCUUGGCACCUAAUGCUCUUGCCACCAUAUAUCUCAUAUUUAUAUAUCCUAUUUUCUCUCUCUCUCUCUCUCUCUCGAUAUAUGUAUAUUAUAUAUACAUGCAGAUAUAUUUAUGUUUUUUAUAUGUUUAUAUUUUUAUAUAUAUCUCAUAUUUAUAUAUCUCAUAUUUUUAUAUCUCAUAUUUUUAUCUCUCCUAUGCCUCUGUCUCCUGUUUGCACAGACUGCC
Long non-coding RNA from Dromaius novaehollandiae (emu), 3677 nucleotides. RefSeq lists it as uncharacterized. The transcript has 6 exons. The record is from RefSeq and is a predicted model, not a curated record. NCBI's taxonomy places the organism in Eukaryota, Metazoa, Chordata, Aves, Casuariiformes, Dromaiidae.